GUAGUCUGCAACUCGACUACAUGAAGCUGGAAUCGCUAGUAAUCGCGAAUCAGAAUGUCGCGGUGAAUACGUUCCCGGGUCUUGUACACACCGCCCGUCACCACCAUGGGAGUCAGUAACGCCCGAAGCCGGUGACCCAACCAGUUCUGGAGGGAGCCGUCGAAGGUGGGACCGAUAACUGGGGUGAAGUCGUAACAAGGUAGC
Molecule: ribosomal RNA, 204 nt
Filed under: uncultured bacterium
Lineage: Bacteria
Description: partial 16S ribosomal RNA
Rfam family: Bacterial small subunit ribosomal RNA
Source: RNAcentral